UGCAGUCGAACGGUAGCAGGAAGAAAGCUUGCUUUCUUUGCUGACGAGUGGCGGACGGGUGAGUAAUGCUUGGGAAUCUGGCUUAUGGAGGGGGAUAACUGUGGGAAACUGCAGCUAAUACCGCGUAGUAUCGAGAGAUGAAAGGGUGGGACCUUCGGGCCACCUGCCAUAAGAUGAGCCCAAGUGGGAUUAGGUAGUUGGUGGGGUAAAGGCCUACCAAGCCGACGAUCUCUAGCUGGUCUGAGAGGAUGACCAGCCACACUGGGACUGAGACACGGCCCAGACUCCUACGGGAGGCAGCAGUGGGGAAUAUUGCGCAAUGGGGGGAACCCUGACGCAGCCAUGCCGCGUGAAUGAAGAAGGCCUUCGGGUUGUAAAGUUCUUUCGGUAAUGAGGAAGGGGUAUUAUUGAAUAG
This 415-nucleotide ribosomal RNA is filed under the name Pasteurella dagmatis. RNAcentral's name for it is "bacterial SSU rRNA". It matches the Rfam family "Bacterial small subunit ribosomal RNA", at positions 56 to 466 of the family's 1533-position model. The record is from RNAcentral. Lineage: Bacteria; Pseudomonadati; Pseudomonadota; Gammaproteobacteria; Pasteurellales; Pasteurellaceae.